UCAGUGAAGUGUUCGAGGGCCAUCAUAU
This 28-nucleotide non-coding RNA is filed under the name Mus musculus (house mouse). Lineage: Eukaryota; Metazoa; Chordata; Mammalia; Rodentia; Muridae. The record is from RNAcentral.